This is a long non-coding RNA of Rosa rugosa (rugosa rose), 3940 nucleotides long. RefSeq lists it as uncharacterized. The record is from RefSeq and is a predicted model, not a curated record. The transcript is spliced from 6 exons. Lineage: Eukaryota; Viridiplantae; Streptophyta; Magnoliopsida; Rosales; Rosaceae.
GAUCUGCAUGCUCAAUUCUUCUUGAUAUGAUUUUUUUUUGGUUGCUUUGCAGAAAUGUUAGUGUUGGUCCAUAAAUAUGUCAAGUUGUUAGUCAAUUUAUGAUUCAUAAAUUGGAACUUAUGCAUAUAUCAGGAUUACCCAAGCAAUUAAAGUUGUUAGUCAAUUAAUAUCAUUUGAGUCCAUUACAACUUUUUUGUUUUGUUCCUGCACUCCAGACCUCAAGAUUUGAGCUUUUGUCUUGUUCAGUUUUGAUUACAAUUGAUUAAAACCUCAUGAAAAAUCCCAAAAGCCACCGCUGCAUGACAAAGUUUCAUUUAUGCAAACAAGAGUCCAGAAGAUUUUGACAAGAAGCCAUUAUAUUUGGCUAGUGCAUGAUUCCAUUUCUUAUCUGCCAAGUGCUAACACCACCACCACAAGUAGCCAAAAGUUUUAUUUUUAAUUAUCUCUUAGCAAAAUAAAAGCUCUCAAUUGCUUUUAACUUCACCCAUGGCAGCAACGAAGACAUGUAUAACUUCAAAAAAUGAAAACAAAAAGUCUAGAAUUAUGAGAUUGAUAAGUAGUUCAUUUCAUAUCUAAUUGUAUCUAGUCACAAACUCGUACUGCAUCAUAUCUAAUAAUCUUGUUAGUUCAAUUUUGUUACCAUGGUUCUCUUGCUCUUUACAUGUUCAGUUAGCUGCUUUGGUAGAAUGAUACUGAGGAAGGUGUUAAUUUGAGAGGAAGGUGUCAAUUUUCAACAACCUUUGCAAAGUUUUGGUUAUUUUUCUUGAUUAAAGAGGAAGGUGUUAAUUUGAGAGGUGAUUCUUGUUUUCUGUAGAGAUUCACUGAGAGAGAUAGAGAGGAGUAAUGGGAUUGAGAGGAUGAGAUGCAGCUUUUUGAAGUUGCUGAGAUAGCUUAUUUAGCAGGCAAGCAUAUGAUACCAUGCUCCAUGUUCUCUGCUUGGAACUUGACCAUGUUCAUCACAUGGAACUGAUGCAUGAUCGCGUUUUAAAAUAUCCAGAUCGUGUUCAGAAUUUGUACUUCGCAUUCCUCUUUGUUCUCCGGGCAGUGACAAGAGCUGCAGAUUACUUAGAGCAGGCUGAGUAUGAUACAGGUAAUCAUGAGGAAGACCUUAGAACAGAGUCUUUGAUGAGGCAGCUACUUUAUGAUAGCUCUUUUUAAAGCUAUUGAUUUUCCUUAUUCUCCUGCAAAUAUGUCGAUUGUAAUAUAGGGAAAUAAGGGUCUCCCGCAGAGGAUUAAGAUAAACUAAAGGCUUCAACAAAAGUCACAAAAACGUGACUGCAGCUCCUACUGAACCGCAGUAGAAAAACAAACUAAAAACCUAACUAAAACAACCCAGAAAAAUACGAAAAUUUACAGAGAUAUACUACACACGUAAAGAGUCUAGCACACAAAAUUUGGUGAAUUUUGGAGUUGAUUUGCUAUGGAAAUAAAAUACAGAAAAACAGAGAACAGAAAGAAAAAUGAAAUUGAAGCAGAUUUGAAGUUGGUUGAGAUCAAGAUAAUGAAACUAGCUAGGAAGGAAGUAUCCACCCCCAACAAUAACACACAACACACUUUGUCCAAUUUAUCACCAAUUAACUUAGUUGAAGAUACUCAGAUUGGCUCGGUACGCUUGAACACAACCUAUUACUCUUUCUUACCUUGUACGCUAGGCAGGAAGUGCUCUACACCUAGACUAUUCCCAAGCAAUGCAACCUAAAGGUACGUUUAUUAGAUUAAACAUGCAGAGAUCAUUAAGUUUGAAAAGAGUUUGAGCAAUCACUAGGCAUCGCAAAUAACUUAGAGCCUUGCUAAACCUAGGAUUUUGUUUACUUGCUAGUGAAAACUACCAAUUACUUCUCUAGAUAAUUUGAGGAAUCCAACUAUUGAUCCAGGCAUCAAACCAUCAAAGUAUUAGAACCCUAGCAUGCAUACUAAGUAGUCCUCCAAAGCAUACAAACAUAGAAUUCAUCAAUGAGAAAUUGGUAAACAAAACCUCAACUUUAUUAAUUGAAAACAAACCGAAAAUCAAAGCAUGUUAUGGAUCAUGUCUAGGGGCUUCAACAGCUCCCUAGCUACUGGAAAUUUAGUUACACAUAAUUGGAAUCAAAAACACAAAGGAGUUCAUGAGAAAGGAAGACAACAAAAAUCAGAAAUUGGGAAAAAUACGAUCAAUGAUCGAUCUUUGAGAAACAGUGAUCGAUCGUCUCUGGUGUGAUUUUGCAGUCUUGCUUCUUCUUCUUCUUCUUCUUCUUUGGUGUGUCUCUGGUUCUUUUUUAUGUGAUAUGGUCUGUAUGUGGUUGGUCACUCUAUUUAUAAAACAUGGAAGGAGGCCCCUUUAUGUAGGAGUUGCAAGUUUCAAGGGCACUCUUGCAAUUAGGUCAAGCUUGUUUACUUGUUCUAUUUGAUUUUCUCUUCUUAGGCUGAAUUCUUUGACUUGUAGAUCCUUUACAGCUGAUAUAAAACAUGCUAACAGCUCAUAUAAAACGUGUAUAACUCAGCAAAGGAUCCCCAAGAAGCCUCAAAACAAUCUGCCAAGAGAUAAGGAAGGUGACUUCCUUAUCUGCCUCACUUAGGAUUGCCUUUUUAGCCCUUCUUUUAACUCGGUUUCAUUUCAGCUUUGAAUGUGAUUUUUAACAAGAUAACAGCCUUGAUGUUGAUCUUUAAGAGUGUAUAAAGAUCUUCUAAAAAUCCCCUCAACUUGCUGCCCAAAAGCAGCCUUGAAAAGCCUUCAAGAUAAGGUCUGUCAGAAAUUUCCAGAUUUUCCUUAUCUUCUGGUCAAUUUUAUGGGCUUGUACACCGACCUUGUAGCUAUCUUUCUGAACGUUUCUUAGGCCUAUAAUGCCCUAUGAUAUCAUUUAUUGACGUCCAAACAAUAUCCUUCCAAAAGACUUUCCAACAAAGUCUCCAAAAGACAGCUCCAAUAUGCUUCAUAGAUAAGACUGAAGGUGGAAAGCUGAUCAGGAUGCCUACUUUGUGCAACGUUUCUGACUUGAUUCUUGACUAUUAUGAUCACUUGAUUUGGCUUUAUUGUAGUGAAAUAUCUGGUUUUCACAUGUAGUCAAGAAUUGCUGCCAUGGUGCACUCAAAAUAUCUUCAAAAUGGGGUCCAAAUAUAGAAGAAAAUAAGGCAGAUUCCAGUUUUCAUAUUUUGCUUCUCAGCAACUGUUUUGCACGAAGUUUUCCACAAGCUUCCCUUCUUGUUUCUGACCACAUAAAUGGUUGUCCUUCAUCUUUUGCAUCAGUAUUAUACAUCUGAGCCUUAACUUGCCACAAUUGAGCUCCUAUUUUUCCAUGGUUGAUCCACAAACCUCCUAAGAAAAUAACAAAGUUAGUUUGAUCUUUUUAACGAAAUAACUAAGCAAAAGUGUAAAGGAUUAAACUAUAAAUUCGUCGCAUUUUAUGCUCCUAUCACUUUACAAUCCUAAACUCCAAGCUACAUGUCCCCUACCGUUUGAUGAAGCAAAGCUCUGGAACAGUCAGAGCGGACCACAAUUGAAGCAAAAAAUUCAAAAGAAAUUCAGAAACAUCAGUGCAUUAAUGGAUUGUGUGGGAUGUGAGAAAUGUCGGCUCUGGGGAAAGCUUCAAGUUCUUGGUCUUGGUACUGCAUUGAAGAUCCUCUUUUCUGUGGAUGGUAAAAAUCAUCAAGAUCAACUUGUAUGUCCAGAACUACAGGGAAAAGGAGAAGUUGGAGCAUAGGCUCUAAAAUGCACAGUUGGAAAAGGAGGAUAAGAGGCAGAGCUUUCAGCAACAUUUUUUGGGGAUUGCAGAUAGAAAACGGACACAUAUCUUGAGGAAGAUGGAGGAAGAUCCCUGCAAAGCUUUUCUUGAAGUAGAGGAAGAAAAGUACCUUGUAUUAUCUUAUAAACUCUUGUAUAAAAGCUUCAUUGCUUUUGUAACAUUCAUGAGAAAAAUCCAAAUGUAACAUUCCCUUUUCAAUAUGUUGAAUUCCUUUUUGUACA